Molecule: long non-coding RNA, 804 nt
Filed under: Capra hircus (goat)
Lineage: Eukaryota; Metazoa; Chordata; Mammalia; Artiodactyla; Bovidae
Description: lncRNA (ENSCHIG00000002587.1)
Source: RNAcentral
UUCUCCCCGCCUUAUCUAUGCAUGCAGAAGUCUUUAAAAUUUAUGGGGAUCAAAUACUUAAAAAAAAAAAAAAAAAGAUCUAGAAAUGUCACCAAUCUUCAACUUUCAUUACCUUUGAAUCAAAGGUAUAAGAAAUUGGAACCCUAAGGCAAAGCAAUGAAAGCUUAAUUGCUCUAGAAAUAUACAUCCUAUUGUAUUUUCAAUUUGGCUCUAAGAAAUUCAGGCAAUCUCAAGUACUCAGGGAAUUGAGAAAUAGAAUUCUCUUUAAAGAAGGAUGAAGAAACACUUAGCUUAAUUAUUUCUUUACUUUUCAGCUUGUCGUUAUUAGAAGUGGUGUUUGGGAAUUUGGUCAGUCCUUCUCCAGAAGACAAUGUUUUGCUUCCCCAAAGCAUCAUUGUCAUCCUCAUCAACAACAAAUAAUAAUAUAACAAUUACCAAGAUGGAUAUAGAUAUCACUGCAUGUCAAAAGCUGGUCUAAGUUGAUAUAAAACUGCCAUGGACACAGGGGUGGCCGAGUGGCCAGCUGUGUCCUGAAAUGCCUGAAGCCAUCACAAUCAGCGCUCCACUGUCUGAGGCUCUCAAAAUGAAACACUUUGAACACUCAUUCAAAGAGGAUACACUGUGUCACACUACUCACAGAAGAAAGCAUACUACUCACAGGCUGCAAGUGGUGCCUCUUGUUUGGUUUUUACCAUCAUUACCCAUUCUUGCUCCUUUAUAUACCGCCACCAGAGAAGAAAUGCAACAAUUCUGUUGCAGCUAAUGAGGAUUGCUUUGUUUGUAACUGUUCUGGUAUAAUUGUAG